AAGGAGACUCCUCAAUCUCUCUGGGCAGCCUGUUCCAGUGCUCUCUCACCCUCCCCGUAAAGAAGUUCUUCCUCUGCUCAAGUGCACACAGUACUUCAGUAGCACCUUGACUUGUCAUGCAAAUUUCUAGUCUUGCAAACUAUUUUUGCAGCCCUCUCUUCCAGUAUCUGCCCUUACCUUCUGAAUCCCAGCCUCCCCACUCUCACUUUCUAGUGCCCAGGUUUAAAAUACUGCUGCUGUACGCCAGUCUCUAGCAUCUGGGAAAGGAAGUGAGAGAGGAGCACAGAACAUAAUCCAUCCUGAAGACUUGCAUCUUCACUCUCCUGUGGGAACUAUAGAGAGAUCUCUGUACUGCCUGUAUAAGACACUGUUCAAAAGGAGAUCAGCAGCUUUGUAGCCAAGUGUGAAGAUGACAGUGUUGAAAAUGAAGGAGGUACCACUAUAAGGAAUGUGUCUCCAUCUUCUUGAUGAUCACCUUGUAGAUAUGGGAUAGCUGGUGCUAGUUACAACUCCCAAAGAAGGUUUUUCUCCAGAUGCGAAUGGCAAAGUUCACUGAUAGAGCUUUAAACUAGAGAGACAUUUGCAUGCUGGAGUGCUAGGAAGAGUCACAAUUUGGUUGAGAAGUGACAGCCCAGGCUCCAUCUCAUUAGCAAAUCAGCCAGUGAUGCAUAUGGGACAAAGUGUGCUGAUACUUAAGUCUCCAUUAGGUGAGGGCAAAUCAACUAUACUAUAGGGUGAAAGGAUAACUAAAUAUGCUGCUGUAUAAGAAGAGGAUCUGGCAAAAACUGUGCACCUUCCCCUCUCAAAGAGGCCUGUCCCUCAGAGAGUUAAUGAUCCUGCUUUCUCAGGAGGUGAAAAGAUACUUCCGUGUAGCAUCCCAGAAAAGAUAUGGAACUGCCAGGAGCAGCAGAAGACUUUGAACAUCCUCAAGGUUUUGUACUUGUGUUGUCCCCUUAGCACCCGUGACUUGAAUAUAGUCUGGAACUGAUUAACUUCACUUCGAUCUCUGGAAGGGAAUGUUCUUCCAGCAGUUAAAUAUUCUCUCAGCAUUGCACAUGGACCAGACAUUACAGAGGCUAGGGCUGCAUUUGCAUUUUUUCCUCAUGAACUGAAAGAGAAAGGAAUAUCCUCCAGUAUUUCACUGCUGCCAUUUCCAUCCUUCAUGGUAGUGCCAAAUUCAACCUAGCUAUCCUGUUAGCUUCAGCAGCAUUCCCCCAAGCCCUAUGGCCAUGAGAUUUGCAGCUCACACAGCAGGCAGCCCGUGCCGCACACAUGACAAAUACUUUGGUUCCAAAGUACAUCCUCAGAGAACAGCAUGAAUCACAUUUCUGAGAAACACGGUAUCUCUAGCACUUAUAAAUGCCUUUGAGUGGUAUUGCAUUAGGAGAGGUAGAGCUCCCCUACUCCAGCUUUCCACCUGGGGGAUGUCUUCGGGGAUAAAAGUGACUUAGAGAGCACUGCAGUAAAGUGGUUAAACUGGGAAAAUCUGAAGCAUCAGUACAGGCUUUUAGAAGUAUCUCUAACUUCCCUCCAGCUCCUAUCUGCACUACACACUUGUGUGUGUGCCUUUGGCGUGCUGACGCAGCCAACAGGGAAACAUCACCUCCUUCCACUGCUGCCUAACAUCACACUGGGAGUUGGGGCAUUAUGCUGCAGGGGAAGGAGAGCAGAGUGGGCUCUCUGAGUUCUUCCGUAUGAAGCUGAAGAACUCACUGAGGAAGCAGUUCAGCUUAUGAAGUACCCUGAGAGACCUUUCCAUAGGAACUGUGCUUGUGGCUGUUCUAGCUACGGCAGGUCAGGGAGAGCUGCUUGCCACCACAGGACCGGAUCUUCCCCAGGACACCAGCAAGCCAUUGCUGCUGUGUCUGUGCCAGGGAAUAAGGGAGGGAGGUUGGGACGUAUUUUGGCUCUGUACAGGGCUGAGCAAACACAGCAACAUUUGCCUGAUAGUGACCACCUGCCUGUGAAUUGGUGCGAUCUCUGGCCAUGGCGAUCAGGUACCUGCUGCUCCUCCUGGCUCAGGGAGUCUCCUGUUUCCUCUGGCUCAGUCAGGGGCUCUUUUUUUGCCCUCUCUUUCUAUGCAGUGCUCAUCUGUUUGCUUACUAUUUCAGGCACGGGUGACAGCAAUCAAAAAAACAUUCCACUGUACUCAGUUAAUCCAUAGGAAAAUCCCAUGCUGGUACACAAAAUGUGGAGACUAUGCUUACGCAUUCUCCCCCAAGGGCCUUGGGCAAUGGAAAUUUUCUCAAGCUCCAUUCAUUAACAAAAUAGAUGAGCAGUUAUGUAAGAUCAUGUGAGGGAAGUGGUUGGGCUUUGGUCAAUGAAAGAGUUAGUCACACAUCAACGAGCCCGAUGAGCCUGGGAAGAAAUAUGGAGAUGCUUUUCUUAUUCAAGGACUGAAAAAAAGGAGAAUUUUAGCUUCAAAUCUUCAUUUUAUACUAAGCUUGGUGACCACCUUUACAUUCUAGGCAUUGCAGGAGCGCUGUUGUACUUAAGCAAAAGCAGCAUUGAGAUCUGUUGAGAUCUCCCUCUUUUUCCCUUCCCAGGUCUAUCUCCCGUGCUCUGAAAGACUUAGUCAACCACUUCUGACUUGUACUUUUGGGGUGCAAUUGAGGUGCUGUUUCCCACCAGCCCAGCCAGUCUGCCCUGAGAAUGCUCUGGGCGUAGGUAAAUUGAACACUAGUAAUAUUUGGUGGUGGAAAGUGGUGGACUCGAUUAGACGUGAUCUGAAACAAUAUCGUCCCACUCUUCACUGGUUUUCAUGCUCUCUCAGCACUAGGAACCCUGCCAAGUGUCCUCCAGGACCCUGAGCUGAGUUUAACCCUGGCCCUUGGCUCUUCCUAGCUUCUGCUUUGAGGCUUGCAGAUCUGCGACUUUCAGACAAUGAUAGUUUACAGAAGGCAAUCAAAUAAGCUUUGUUGGUUUUUUUUUCCCUUCAUUUGCGCUAAUCCCUGCCUGCUGAAUAACCAGUUGCUUGUGUUCUUUCACCUUGCAGCCAGCCUCCUGAAGGUCGUUGCACUAGCUGAGCAGUGGAACUUGGCUGGCAGCCUCCACAAGACAUGGAGUGGCAUUUGCCUAGCAUGACCUAUUGGGAGCACUCAUGGCCACUCAUGGAGUGCAGAGGAGGCCUCAAAAAGAAACUGAUGUGGGGCAGAUAGGGAGGAUAUAGGCAAUAGGGUAUAGCUGAAGCACUGCUAGAUGCAUGAGGACUGGGAAUAAGUGAGAGCUGUGUCCCUCUCACAUGCACUGAUGUGAGCUGAGGUUGUGAAGCCUUGAAAACCUGCUGCGUAGAGGUGCUCACAGACACAUGCUGUACCUGAUGGCACUGGGCAGGGCAUCCCAACCCCACAUGGGGUAUUCAUGGUGCAUGCUCGGUCCUCAGUCAAAGCACAGUUGUUUCGCCAAGUGGAUGCUUUCCAGAAGGAGCCACAUUCCUGACCAUGGAGAGCUGAAAGGACUGCAAAUGGGAUAUGCCUUAAAAUAGACAGAGAUAUAGGAACAGAGCUCAUUUCCCAGGCAGCGAGGACACGUGCUGACAUCUCAGGCGUUUGUUCAGAGGGAGGGGCUGCUAAAACUGCAGCUGACAGCCUUGGCUGCCAGUGUCACUGGUUGCCUUAGGGCAGUUUUCACUACCUUAAAGGAUAUUUGUUGAGAUUGGUGGGGAUUUUUUUGCUAGUAAGAUUUGUCUCUGCCUCCCUAUAAGGCAAACAGAGUGGGAGAUAGAUUCCCCUUCUACAAAACCAUCGAGGUGUUAAGUAAAAUGAUGUGUCAUGAAUUAGGAUAAAAAGGUUAGAUCUCUACUUUUUCAAAGAACUUGGAAAAAAACUCUCCUUGUUCAAUUGAAAUGUUUUAUUCUAGCAACCUUCAAAUGUUUUCUUUAGAACCAUACAGACAGAAGGUUAGCCUUCUGCUUUUUAAUGGCUAAGUACUGGAAAUCUAUGGUGGAAACCUGUUGACUUCAAAAAACAUCUGAAUGUUAUGAUGCUCACAGGAGGGAUCCCCUGAGUGGUGCUCUUUUAAGUAGUUGUUACACAGUCCCCACGAAACAAUAUACCACAGUGUCUGUUGUUUUUGCAAACAACAGCGUAUACAAAGUAUUGGAUAGUGCUGGGUAGGUAGGAAGAAACAUCCAUGGCAACUCAGAUGUCGCUGAUGGAGAAACCCAAACUCUGGCAGGUCAGAGCACAACAGAAGUGAGCAGAAGAACAAGAAAUCAGCCUUCCCAUACUGCCCAUCUUGUGCUGAGCUCUCCAGCCAGCACAGUCUUACUGCCUUGCAGUGCUGGCUGCAAUGUACGGCACCAGGCGACCGCGGGAGUUAAUUAUUAAACAGAAAGGCGUCAUUGGUCCCCUUGCCACUGCCGUCCCUCCCAUAAAUAUGCUGCGUGAUGGAAGAAUGAUCAUGUGCAAUAAGAACAAAGAAACCUUUUCAGGAUGAGCAGAUUUUCCUUUGCUGGAGAGCUGCUCCCGCUUUGCCUCCCUGGAGCUGGGGGAGUAAUGCGCUCACUCUCCAUAAAGGUGGAGUUCAGGAAAGAAAGAUGAAAAGGACACAAGAGACAGUCACGAUGCUGAUUUCUUUGAAUAAUCUCCCCAGCUGUUAGCCCAAGCCAUUUCCUUAUCAGGGAGUACUGUAAUAGCAGCGUUUCAGAGUCUGGAAGGAAACAUUUUGAAGUUAGCUUUGGCAUUUCAAGGCUAUCACUAUUUUCACCGAGGUUCCCUGGACUUGUAGAUAAAAUAUUAACUCUGGACUGGGUGUAGAGGCCCCAGCAGGCUGUAAAGCAGUGGCACAAGGGAAGUGACAGGCUCUGGUACAGAGAUGGUAACAUAGCAUCCAGGCAUUAAAAACCAGCAUGUGGAUAGUUUCUCCCAACAGACACACUGCUUUUGGCUGUACAUCUUAGAAAAACCAAAUGCUUGCAGAUAAGUUCUGCAGGUGCCAGGCACUCCAGGAUCAGAACCCUUUUCUGAAAUAGCCUGUCACCUUCAUUCUGGAAGGGAACAGUGGAGAGCCACUUCAGUUCCUCUGCUAUGAAGCCUCUCCAGAGCCCUUUGCCUCUGACUAUUCCAAAUCCCAAGGCUGACUGUGGGGCCCAGGAAUCUGGACAAGGUGAAUACAAGCUGCUGCUGGCAUGGUUUCAUUCCUCAGUGAAGCAAGCAAGGGCUUCACAGACAGGGGACACUAAAUCCAUUUCUUUGCCUGUGCUCUGAGCUUGGCAGGUUCACAGUGAACUCCUGAGCUGCCCCUCUCUCCUCUCCCC
Molecule: long non-coding RNA, 5257 nt
Organism: Coturnix japonica (Japanese quail)
Lineage: Eukaryota; Metazoa; Chordata; Aves; Galliformes; Phasianidae
Source: RefSeq, a predicted model, not a curated record